Small nuclear RNA from Mustela putorius furo (domestic ferret), 74 nucleotides. The record is from Ensembl. NCBI's taxonomy places the organism in Eukaryota, Metazoa, Chordata, Mammalia, Carnivora, Mustelidae.
GCGCUUGCUGCGGCAGCACAUACACUACAAUUGGAACGAUACAGAGAAGAUUAGCACAGCCCCUGCGCAAGGAU